CUUGUUAUUAUUGUCAUCGGAUUGGCUGGACUUGGAAUUGCGAAGAUUGUCAUGGGAGCUGUAUAUCUUCAUGAUUGUAGUAUACAAGAUCUCAUUCCGAUCUGGUUAAUUGUGAGUGGAUGUGCUCCAAUUUUGUUAGGCGGAUUUGGUAGACAGAAUAACGAGGACAGUGGCGAGGGUUACAAUUUAUGCCGAAUCAUUUGUGGAGCUAUUGGCUUCCUGUUCAACCUUGCCUGGCUUAUUUGUGGAAGUGUGUGGGUGUAUCCAAACUGUGGAAAAGUAGUAGCUGAUGAUUUCACGCCAUGCAUGGGAAACAUAACCAUGGAUUGCACACAAGGGGAUUGUAACAAAAGCCUGAUCAAAUUCGCUUUUGCAAUGGCGACACUUGAUUGGAUACUCAUGAGCCUUUGGAUCGCUCUGAUUGGUUACACCGUAUUCAGGGCAUGGAAAAAUUAGCCAACCCGUAAGCGGAACGUAAACUUUGGAUGAUAAUUAUAACUAUGGUUAAACUGUUUUGAUGCACCUAUUUAAGCGUUCUUGCUGCUUUACUCUUGUAUGCUGUCCAACCGCUUUGAAUGAACAAUGUUUAUUCAUGAAUCAUGAAAAUCACUUUAGUAUUUAUGUUAAUGAUAUCCAUUUAACGAUUAUUUUCUUAAGUUUGUGCAAUGAAAACAAGCGGUGCAGCAGGCGUAGAAUUAAUGCACAAUAUAAUUACAUGUCAACUUCACUUAACUUAUCUGGUCAUUGACAUUUUUACAAGCAGUCUAAAUCUUGUAUUGUCACUAUAAAAUCUUGAGUGAUACUUCAUCUUAUUAUCGAAUUAUUGUAAGUUUUUGUGCCUCAUUAAAUAAGUUGACAAAACAUCUGAUGCAGUGAUGUAAAUGUAAAUUAUACAUAGAUGGAUAUAUCCUGAUUGACUUUGUUGUGUAAACUAAUCAUUUGAGCCGCGUCAUGAGAAAACCAACAUAAUGCGUUUGCGACCAGCAUGGAACCAGACCAGCCUGCGCAGUCUCAUCAGGAUCCAUACUGUUCGCUAACUGUUUCUCUAAAUGCAAAAGACUUCGAAAGCGAACAGCAUGGAUCCUAACCAGACUGCGCGGAUGCGCAGGCUGGUCUGGAUCCAAGCUGCGGGUCGCAAACGCAUUAUGUUGGUUUUCUCAUGGUGCGGCGCAUGCUAUCAUGUCUAAACCUGUUUUCAUUUUUUUUCUCCAUUGUGUCAGAGCAAGGGAAUUCUAACAGGUAGCAUUGCUUGUAAAUACCUAAUCGAGCGUUGUCAUUCUUUGCAAUCAUUUGUAAAUGCAUUAUUUCUAAACUUCAUUUAAUGAACACAUGAACAUACUUCCAUAAAAUAUUUCUAGUUGCUUGAACGACUUAGAAAAUCAGCUUCUAUUUUUUUGACUUUGAAAAUUUAAGGUUCUGUCUAAUACAUGCAUCUAUUUAUACAGUGGUUUUGUUUUCUUAUGUAUGUACUCUAUAACAUGUUUGCACUAUAUAUUAAAAAAAAACACUUUUCCGAAUGAAAGCUAAAAAAACGACUAAACUUUCACAGUGACUGUUAAUAAUUUGUAGAUCUGUAUGCAUUCAAUGUCCACAUUUAUAUGAACCGCGCCGUGAGAAAACCAACAUAGUGCG
Long non-coding RNA from Mercenaria mercenaria, 1632 nucleotides. RefSeq lists it as uncharacterized. The transcript has 4 exons. The record is from RefSeq and is a predicted model, not a curated record. NCBI's taxonomy places the organism in Eukaryota, Metazoa, Mollusca, Bivalvia, Venerida, Veneridae.